RNAcentral lists this ribosomal RNA (432 nucleotides) under Triticum aestivum (bread wheat). RNAcentral describes it as "partial small subunit ribosomal RNA". Lineage: Eukaryota; Viridiplantae; Streptophyta; Magnoliopsida; Poales; Poaceae. The record is from RNAcentral.
AUGAACGAAACUUUGCAGAAGGAAUACGUGGCGGCCGAGGUGAAGGACGCACUAUUCCAAAUGGCACCGUCCAAAGCUCCGGGAGUGGACGGGUUCACAACGGGCUUCUACCAACGACAUUGGGACAUCCUUGGGGAUGAUAUUACUCAAGCAGAGGAAAAGGCUAAAAAUGCAAGUUGCGCGGUCAAGCUGGAUAUGUUAAAAGCUUAUGAUUGGGUGGAGUGGCAUUAUCUCGAAGCAAUGUUGUCCAAACUAGGCUUCGGGGGUAGUUUUAUCAGACUCGUCAUGAAGUGCGUCACUUCUGUUCGGUUCACGAUCAAGGUGAAUGGGGAACUCCUACCUUUCUUUGAUCCUACGAGGGGUCUCCAUCAGGGCUGCCCCAUGUCUCCUUACCUCUUCCUCAUUUGUGCACAAGGCCUCACAGCCUUCUAA